UUCCGUUGGGUUGGAAGGGCUUUCACUGAGUCCUUUCGGCUUAAGAUAUAGUCGGACCCCGCUGAAAGGCGGUCUGCGAGAGGAAUUCUGUUUAUCAGAAGGAGAGCUCGCAGGUGCUCAGGUAAUACUCUGCAAUGCAAAUUGUUUGAGGGCAAAAUAUGCCUCUGAGCAGGAAAAAAUCGA
Molecule: ribosomal RNA, 183 nt
Filed under: Trebouxia jamesii
Lineage: Eukaryota; Viridiplantae; Chlorophyta; Trebouxiophyceae; Trebouxiales; Trebouxiaceae
Description: partial 18S ribosomal RNA
Source: RNAcentral